Molecule: ribosomal RNA, 929 nt
Filed under: Acropora robusta
Lineage: Eukaryota; Metazoa; Cnidaria; Anthozoa; Scleractinia; Acroporidae
Description: partial 12S ribosomal RNA
Rfam family: Bacterial small subunit ribosomal RNA
Source: RNAcentral
GUAAUUAUGAGGUGUUAGGGAAUCACGGAGGCAGCAGUAAAAAGUUUUUUGUGGAAUAUAUGAAGGUAAGACACAGAGAGGGCACCUUAUCUAGUCCGUCAAAUUAAGUGCCAGCACACGCGGUCAAACUUAAGGGCUAGUUUUGCAGGUAAAAGCGUAAAGGGUGUGAUAGGCCGUUUAAAUUAAAAUAGGAAUUAUAAUUUAAGAGGGUAAAUGGAAUUUUUUUGUAACGGUGGAAUGUUUAAAUAGAAAAAAGAACUUUAGAUGUGAAGACUAUUUAUCUCCGUGAUUAUAGUGUGAUGGCUAAAACACGAGAGUAUGGGGAGCAAACAGGAUUAGGCACCCUGGUAGUCUUUACUGUAAAUAAUGAAAAAAAUGUGAAGCAAUCCUAAAAAGUAAGAAAUUUUCCGCUUGAAUAGUACGAUCGCAAGGUUAAAAUUCAAAAAACUUGGCUGUUCACUGUUUAAAUUAGAGGAGCGUGUCGUUUAAUUCGAUAGUCCGCGAAAGACCUUACCCAAACUUGAAUCCCCCAUUGACAGGUAUUGCAUGGCCGUCGUCAAUUUGUGUAUAAAACAUAAAACAGAAUUAACCCAGUGGGUGGAGCCACCCUUUUUAUUGGAUGAAGUCAGGUCUUAUUUUCCUAAUGUUUGGGGAUUAGAUGCGCUACAUUUUUUUAUACUAUGCGCAACUUUGAAUGUGGAGCCCUAAAAUAAGAGUUCGGGGAAGUGCCUGGAAGAUAACAAAAAGUUGGAUUUAAUAGUAAUUGAAAAGUAGAGCGUUUGCAGUGAAAUACCCCAGCGUUAGCGCGAAUACCCCCGUCGGCGUUUGCUUAUAAAGAUUCUAGGGUGCUGUUCACGAGGGCCGCGGAAGAUAUAGUACGCCAGAGAGAAAAAUACCCUUGGUACGUGGGAGGCGGGGGGGAGAACACA